RNAcentral lists this ribosomal RNA (253 nucleotides) under Roseburia faecis M72/1. RNAcentral describes it as "partial 16S ribosomal RNA". It matches the Rfam family "Bacterial small subunit ribosomal RNA", at positions 524 to 776 of the family's 1533-position model. The record is from RNAcentral. Lineage: Bacteria; Bacillati; Bacillota; Clostridia; Lachnospirales; Lachnospiraceae.
UACGUAGGGGGCAAGCGUUAUCCGGAUUUACUGGGUGUAAAGGGAGCGCAGGCGGUGCGGCAAGUCUGAUGUGAAAGCCCGGGGCUCAACCCCGGGACUGCAUUGGAAACUGUCGUACUUGAGUAUCGGAGAGGUAAGUGGAAUUUCUAGUGUAGCGGUGAAAUGCGUAGAUAUUAGGAGGAACACCAGUGGCGAAGGCGGCUUACUGGACGAUAACUGACGCUGAGGCUCGAAAGCGUGGGGAGCAAACAGG